RNAcentral lists this ribosomal RNA (1428 nucleotides) under uncultured organism. Its description in RNAcentral is "16S ribosomal RNA". It matches the Rfam family "Bacterial small subunit ribosomal RNA". The record is from RNAcentral.
CAGGCUUAACACAUGCAAGUCGAGGGGCAGCAUGGUCUUAGCUUGCUAAGGCCGAUGGCGACCGGCGCACGGGUGAGUAACACGUAUCCAACCUGCCGUCUACUCUUGGACAGCCUUCUGAAAGGAAGAUUAAUACAAGAUGGCAUCAUGAGUCCGCAUGUUCACAUGAUUAAAGGUAUUCCGGUAGACGAUGGGGAUGCGUUCCAUUAGAUAGUAGGCGGGGUAACGGCCCACCUAGUCUUCGAUGGAUAGGGGUUCUGAGAGGAAGGUCCCCCACAUUGGAACUGAGACACGGUCCAAACUCCUACGGGAGGCAGCAGUGAGGAAUAUUGGUCAAUGGGCGAGAGCCUGAACCAGCCAAGUAGCGUGAAGGAUGACUGCCCUAUGGGUUGUAAACUUCUUUUAUAAAGGAAUAAAGUCGGGUAUGGAUACCCGUUUGCAUGUACUUUAUGAAUAAGGAUCGGCUAACUCCGUGCCAGCAGCCGCGGUAAUACGGAGGAUCCGAGCGUUAUCCGGAUUUAUUGGGUUUAAAGGGAGCGUAGAUGGAUGUUUAAGUCAGUUGUGAAAGUUUGCGGCUCAACCGUAAAAUUGCAGUUGAUACUGGAUAUCUUGAGUGCAGUUGAGGCAGGCGGAAUUCGUGGUGUAGCGGUGAAAUGCUUAGAUAUCACGAAGAACUCCGAUUGCGAAGGCAGCCUGCUAAGCUGCAACUGACAUUGAGGCUCGAAAGUGUGGGUAUCAAACAGGAUUAGAUACCCUGGUAGUCCACACGGUAAACGAUGAAUACUCGCUGUUUGCGAUAUACUGCAAGCGGCCAAGCGAAAGCGUUAAGUAUUCCACCUGGGGAGUACGCCGGCAACGGUGAAACUCAAAGGAAUUGACGGGGGCCCGCACAAGCGGAGGAGCAUGUGGUUUAAUUCGAUGAUACGCGAGGAACCUUACCCGGGCUUAAAUUGCAGAUGAAUUACGGUGAAAGCCGUAAGCCGCAAGGCAUCUGUGAAGGUGCUGCAUGGUUGUCGUCAGCUCGUGCCGUGAGGUGUCGGCUUAAGUGCCAUAACGAGCGCAACCCUUGUUGUCAGUUACUAACAGGUUCCGCUGAGGACUCUGACAAGACUGCCAUCGUAAGAUGUGAGGAAGGUGGGGAUGACGUCAAAUCAGCACGGCCCUUACGUCCGGGGCUACACACGUGUUACAAUGGGGGGUACAGAGGGCCGCUACCACGCGAGUGGAUGCCAAUCCCCAAAACCUCUCUCAGUUCGGACUGGAGUCUGCAACCCGACUCCACGAAGCUGGAUUCGCUAGUAAUCGCGCAUCAGCCACGGCGCGGUGAAUACGUUCCCGGGCCUUGUACACACCGCCCGUCAAGCCAUGGGAGCCGGGGGUACCUGAAGUGCGUAACCGAGAGGAGCGCCCUAGGGUAAAACUGGUGAC